Molecule: ribosomal RNA, 475 nt
Filed under: uncultured bacterium
Lineage: Bacteria
Description: partial 16S ribosomal RNA
Rfam family: Bacterial small subunit ribosomal RNA
Source: RNAcentral
GAUGAACGCUGGCGGCGUGCUUAACACAUGCAAGUCGAACGAUGAACCCCACUUGUGGGGGGCUUAGUGGCGAACGGGUGAGUAACACGUGAGUAACCUGCCCUUGACUCUGGGAUAAGCCUGGGAAAACGGGUCUAAUACUGGAUACGACCUUCUGGCGCAUGCCGUGUUGGUGGAAAGCUUUUGUGGUUUUGGGUGGACUCGCGGCCUAUCAGCUUGUUGGUGGGGUAAUGGCCUACCAAGGCGACGACGGGUAGCCGGCCUGAGAGGGGGACCGGCCACACGAGGACUGAGACACGGCCGACACUCCUACGGGAGGCAGCAGUGGGGAAUAUUGCACUAUGGGCGCAAGCCUGAUGCAGCGACGCCUCGUGAGGCAUGGAGGCGUGCGUGUUGUAAACCUCUUUCUGGAGGGAAGAAGCCGGCUGUUAGGUUAGUGACGGUACCGGCAGAAGAAGCGCCGGCUAACUACGUG